CACGUCGAUUUAGAAGAACCGCCUCUUACCUCAAGUCAAACGUGUCUGCUCAGCACCAUCUUUUUCUGGAAAGUUCUCCCGCGUCUGCCAUAACACUACCAUCCUCUGCAACUUCUCUCUUUCUUUCUCAUUCUCAUAGAAGAGAAGUCUCUCAUAGGAGAGAAGUUGUGGUCGAUGUAAAAUUCGUCUUUCUUUUCCCCUGCUUGCUGACUUGUUUUGGCUUAUUGGGUCAUUGAAAUUGCAGCGUUUCAUUCAAGUUUAAAGUCACUUUGCUUGGUCAAAGGAGUUAUUUUUGUCAACCAUUGACUUGAGAGAAUGGUUCAGAUUAAGGAAUUUCGAAUUGUGAUGCCCUUGUCAUUGGAAGAGUAUCAGGUAGCUCAGAUGUACAUGGUCAUGAAAAUGCAACAGCAAAGCACCACAGGUGAUGAAGGAGUGGAGGUAUUACAAAACAAACCAUUUAGUGAUGAUGGAUUUGGAGAGGGCCAAUACACAUCAAAAGUUUACCACUUGCAGAGCAAAGCACCAUCUUGGUUGACUACAUUUGCACCAGUUGAUGCCCUUGUGAUGCAAGAGGAAGCGUGGAAUGCAUAUCCUAGAUGUAGAUCAGUUGUUAAGUCUCCAUAUUUUUCAAAGUUCUUUAUGAGCAUUGACACCAUCCACAAAGCUGAUAAUGGAUGCUCUGAGAAUGUGCACGGCCUAAGUGAGGACCAACUGGCAGUUAGACAGGUGGAAGUUAUUGAUAUUGCUUCAGCUGCCACUGAUUAUUGGAGUUACAUAGUGGGAAGAAACAAUGUUGAUUUGUCUAAUUUCCACUCAGCAAGAAGCGGCCGUGGACCGCUCUUGGAAGACUGGCAGGACCAUUGUAGUCCCGUUAUGACAGCGUAUAAGCUGGUGACUGUAGAUUCUCCAUACUGGGGCUUUGGGAGCAGAUUGGAACAGGCUUUGAUGGCGGGGGAAAGGUCGCUUUUCCUUGAAAGUCAUCGUAAUUGUUUUGCCUGGAUUGAUGAAUGGUUUGGGCUGACAGUGGAGGUUUUGCGUGAGUUGGAGCAACAAAGUGAUUAUUCAUUGAAUAAGAAACUUGGCUGGCCUUGCUCGACUGAGAGUUGGAUGACACAAGAGGAAGCUCCACUUGAAGGCGAAAAAUCUGUUGCAUGAAUGUGAUGUUAGUAUAUACGGUAAGGCUGCUAGUAUACUUUUCAGAAUCGUAUUCAUGGAAUGGGUCACAAUAGAAGAUUAUUGGUGUACUUUGAGGCUUUACCACUAGUUUGCAGCAAAGAUACAUAUGCUGUCAACUUGUACAUGAAAAGGUGGGGCAGCAGCAAGGUUUUGUUUUCUGCUAAUCCCUUGAUCCAGUUACUCAUCGCGAUUGUGAGGGGGGACACUAUGAUUGGAAAAAGUUAAAUGAUGGAUUGAGUCAGGUUCACUCAUCACAGUCGUGAGACCCAGCUGCGAGAUUGCGAUAACCAACUUAAUGCCAGACAAUGUUGACCCUCGCGAUCGCGAGGUGACCGUGAUCGCGAGAUACUGUUUACCUGAAUAGUAUAAAUUCUCCAUUUUCGUGAUUGUUCACUAUUUAUGGACUUGGGGACCUCAGGAAAGGCAAUUCUAAAGGGGAUUCUUCCUCAAUCUUUCUUAGAUUCCAAUACCAGUGUGAUUUGUGGUGGCCGAUUGGUAUGGUGAGAAAUUGACGUUUUGAGGUACUGGUGAGCUCCAGCGUCCGAGGUAGACUUUAAGACCUCAUCCUAUCCUUUUUGUCUUUAUUUACUUAAAAGACCGACUUAUGCAUUAUUCAGUUGUCAAAUUUGUAUUAGAUGCUCUUCACAAUGACGCCAGGCUUUGGGGGUUCUAUGUAUUUUCUUUCGGAUA
Molecule: RNA transcript, 1866 nt
Organism: Capsicum annuum
Lineage: Eukaryota; Viridiplantae; Streptophyta; Magnoliopsida; Solanales; Solanaceae
Gene name: phosphatidylinositol transfer protein 1
Exons: 12
Source: RefSeq, a predicted model, not a curated record